This 774-nucleotide long non-coding RNA is filed under the name Homo sapiens (human). RNAcentral describes it as "lncAB514.1". Lineage: Eukaryota; Metazoa; Chordata; Mammalia; Primates; Hominidae. The record is from RNAcentral.
UUCUAGAACUUUCGAGACCUUCUCCCUGUUAUCCACACUUACUUUACAGAGGAGACUCAGCACUUCGAGUCCCCUGUCCUUCAGGCCAGGCCAAACCUUGGUCCCCAGAGCCCAGUGUGGCAGAGGCCAUCGAAAACUGACCCACGCACUCUAGCCCAGCCCUGGAUUUACAGCCAAGCACUGUAUAGGGAUGGGUGACUCUUUUGUUUUUGUUUUUGUUUUGAGUUGGGUCUCUCACUCUCUCACCCAGGCUGGAGUGCAGUGGCAUAAUCAUAGCUCACUGUAGCCUUGACCUCCUGGGCUCAAGCCAUCCUCCUGCCUCAGCCUCCUGCAGAACUGGGACUACAGGCACAUGCCACCACACUCAGCUAUUUUCUGUUUUAUUUUUUUGUAGAGUCAGGGUCUCACUAUGUUGCCCAGACUGGUCUUGAACUCCUGGCCUCAAGCUAUCUUCCUGCCUCAGCCUCCCAAAGUGCUGGGAUUACAGGUGUGAGCCACUGUGCCUGGCCUCUUGGUGACUCUUUGCAAGGGCAUUGCUGGCUGGCUGAUAUGGCCUGCAGCCUCUGCCUGUAACCAUCAGAGCGAUACUCUCAUUAUCGGCAAGGUGGGACCCACCCUGGCCCAAGAGACAGGGCCUGUUAUUCCACUGUAUGGAGGAGAAGCUGAGGCUUAGGGAAGGCAGAUGACUUGGCAAGGUCAUAAAGACAGCAAGCUGCAGGACCAGCUCAUUCUAAGGCAUGAACCCCCUGUGGCCCACCUCACCAUGAUGUUAAC